CGAAGGAUGCAAGCGUUAUCCGGAUUCAUUGGGUUUAAAGGGUGCGUAGGCGGUCUUGUAAGUCAGUGGUGAAAUCUCGCAGCUUAACUGCGAAACUGCCAUUGAUACUGCAGGACUUGAGUACAGAUGCUGUGGGCGGAAUAUGACAUGUAGUGGUGAAAUACAUAGAGAUGUCAUAGAACACCGAUUGCGAAGGCAGCUCACAAAACUGUAACUGACGCUGAGGCACGAAAGUGCGGGGAUCAAACAGGAUUAGAUACCCUGGUAGUCCGCACUGUAAACGAUGAUUACUCGCUGCUGGGGGGCAACUUCCAGUGGCUGAGCGAAAGCGAUAAGUAAUCCACCUGGGGAGUACGCCGGCAACGGUG
RNAcentral lists this ribosomal RNA (368 nucleotides) under uncultured organism. Its description in RNAcentral is "bacterial SSU rRNA". It matches the Rfam family "Bacterial small subunit ribosomal RNA", at positions 526 to 896 of the family's 1533-position model. The record is from RNAcentral.